Molecule: ribosomal RNA, 450 nt
Filed under: uncultured Glomeromycotina
Lineage: Eukaryota; Fungi; Glomeromycota
Description: SSU rRNA
Rfam family: Eukaryotic small subunit ribosomal RNA
Source: RNAcentral
AGCAGCCGCGGUAAUUCCAGCUCCAAUAGCGUAUAUUAAGGUUGUUGCAGUUAAAAAGCUCGUAGUUGAAUUUCGGGAUCAAUAUGUUUGGUCGUGCCUCGGUACGUACUAGCUUAUUGGUUUCUCCUUUCUGAAGAACCAUGAUGUCAUUCAUUUGGUGUCGUGGGGAAUCAGGACUGUUACUUUGAAAAAUUAGAGUGUUUAGAGCAGGCUCACGCUUGAAUACAUUAGCAUGGAAUAAUGAAAUAGGACGUUUGAUUCUAUUUUGUUGGUUUCUAGGAUCGACGUAAUGAUUAAUAGGGAUAGUUGGGGGCAUUAGUAUUUAAUUGUCAGAGGUGAAAUUCUUGGAUUUAUUGAAAACUAACUACUGCGAAAGCAUUUGCCAAGGAUGUUUUCAUUAAUCAAGAACGAAAGUUAGGGGAUCGAAGACGAUCAGAUACCGUCGUAGUC